AGUGAACGCUGGCGGCAGGCCUAAUACAUGCAAGUCGAACGGCAGCACAGCAGAGCUUGCUCUGUGGGUGGCGAGUGGCGGACGGGUGAGGAAUACAUGGGAAUCUGCCCAGUCGUGGGGGAUAACGUAUGGAAACGUACGCUAAUACCGCAUGCGCCCUAAGGGGGAAAGCCGGGGACCGCAAGGCCUGGCGCGAUUGGAUGAGCCCAUGUUCGAUUAGCUAGUUGGCGGGGUAAAGGCCCACCAAGGCGACGAUCGAUAGCUGGUCUGAGAGGAUGAUCAGCCACACUGGAACUGAGACACGGUCCAGACUCCUACGGGAGGCAGCAGUAGGGGAAUAUUGGACAAUGGGGGCGAACCCUGAUCCAGCCAUGCCGCGUGAGUGAAGAAGGCCCUCGGGUUGUAAAGCUCUUUGUCCGGAAAGAAAGCAAUCGGUUAAUACCCGGUUGUUCUGACGGUACCGGAAGAAUAAGCACCGGCUAACUUCGUGCCAGC
RNAcentral lists this ribosomal RNA (495 nucleotides) under uncultured bacterium. RNAcentral describes it as "bacterial SSU rRNA". It matches the Rfam family "Bacterial small subunit ribosomal RNA", at positions 29 to 512 of the family's 1533-position model. The record is from RNAcentral.